GAUGAACGCUGGCGGCGUGCCUAAUACAUGCAAGUCGAGCGAACAGACGAGGAGCUUGCUCCUCUGACGUUAGCGGCGGACGGGUGAGUAACACGUGGAUAACCUACCUAUAAGACUGGGAUAACUUCGGGAAACCGGAGCUAAUACCGGAUAAUAUAUUGAACCGCAUGGUUCAAUAGUGAAAGACGGUUUUGCUGUCACUUAUAGAUGGAUCCGCGCCGCAUUAGCUAGUUGGUAAGGUAACGGCUUACCAAGGCAACGAUGCGUAGCCGACCCGAGAGGGUGAACGGCCACACUGGAACUGAGACACGGUCCAGACUCCUACGGGAGGCAGCAGUAGGGAAUCUGCCGCAAUGGGGGAAAGCCUGACGGAGCAACGCCGCGUGAGUGAUGAAGGUCUUCGGAUCGUAAAACUCUGUUAUUAGGGAAGAACAAAUGUGUAAGUAACUAUGCACGUCUUGACGGUACCUAAUCAGAAAGCCACGGCUAACUACGUG
RNAcentral lists this ribosomal RNA (497 nucleotides) under uncultured bacterium. RNAcentral describes it as "partial 16S ribosomal RNA". It matches the Rfam family "Bacterial small subunit ribosomal RNA", at positions 28 to 507 of the family's 1533-position model. The record is from RNAcentral.